RNAcentral lists this transfer RNA (72 nucleotides) under Tabachnickia sp. DVL-2014. Its description in RNAcentral is "tRNA-Met". It matches the Rfam family "tRNA". Rfam says of the family: Transfer RNA (tRNA) molecules are approximately 80 nucleotides in length. Their secondary structure includes four short double-helical elements and three loops (D, anti-codon, and T loops). Lineage: Eukaryota; Metazoa; Porifera; Hexactinellida; Amphidiscosida; Hyalonematidae. The record is from RNAcentral.
AGUUUUAUAGUUUAAGAAAAAACAACAGCCUCAUGAGCUGCCGAAAUAUGAGUUCAAAUCCCAUUAAAACUC